UGGCAAAUGGGAGUGUUUGAUACCUAGGAGGUGGAAGACAUUUUGGGACAUUUUGAUCUUAUCGGUCAUAUCUGCUGUAGCCAUCGAUCAUUCCUGAAAGAUCGUCGGUGUAAGACUGUGUGGCGUUCAGCCAGCAGCCAUGACAUUGCUCUCAUUCCUCCUGGCUGCCUUAUGUGUCACGCAAGCUGUCCCCGACCCACUUCAAAAUCUGACAACUGUGGACCAGUUGCUACAUAGUAAUAAUGCAGAGCUUGGAGUGGACACCACCUCCCAUCUCACACCCACCCAAAGCCCUGCACCUUCCUUUUCCACUGUUGUUAGCCAGACAUCGCCUAUGGCCAGCAAGGUAAAGCACCAGACUCAAGAAACCCAAACAGACUCGACAACGGGUGACGGACCUGGCUCAAAUGUGACCGCUGACAUUCCAACCCCUG
This is a long non-coding RNA of Clupea harengus (Atlantic herring), 434 nucleotides long. NCBI's taxonomy places the organism in Eukaryota, Metazoa, Chordata, Actinopteri, Clupeiformes, Clupeidae. The record is from Ensembl.